Molecule: long non-coding RNA, 255 nt
Organism: Cheilinus undulatus (humphead wrasse)
Lineage: Eukaryota; Metazoa; Chordata; Actinopteri; Labriformes; Labridae
Exons: 3
Source: RefSeq, a predicted model, not a curated record
GUUGACUUCGCGAUGAAAGCGACAAGGUAAAAUUUGCUAGAACAACCAAAAAUGCUUCAGUGUACAUUUCAGAUUUACAAGGUCAUGUAGGAGUGGCCGAUAUUUGAGGAUUUAGGAGAAAUAAGUGCAAUGUCUGACAACAAUGAUGUAUGGGACUCAUCUGGAUGUGGGUCAAAGGAGAGGCAGGAGGGCACUAAAGAAUCAAGCGGAUUCUCUGAACAUGAUCUUCUCAACAUGAUGUAUGAGACAUGUAAC